GAUGAACGCUGGCGGCGUGCCUAAUACAUGCAAGUCGAGCGAACGGACGAGAAGCUUGCUUCUCUGAUGUUAGCGGCGGACGGGCGAGUAACACGUGGAUCACCUACCUAUAAGACUGGGAUAACUUCGGGAAACCGGAGCUAAUACUGGCUGAUACUUUGAACCGCUUGGUUCAAAAGAGAAUGACGCUCUUGCCGUCACAUAUAGAUGGAUCCGCGCUGCAUUAGCUAGUUGGUAAGGUAACGGCUCACCAAGGCAACGAUGCAUAGCCGACCUGAGAGGGUGAUCGGCCACACUGGAACUGAGACACGGUCCAGACUCCUGCAGGAGGCAGCAGUGGGGAAUCUUCGACAAUGGGCGCAAGCCUGACCGAGCAACGCCGCGUGAGUGAAGAAGGUCUUCGGGUCGUAAAGCUCUGUUGUUAGGGAAGAAAAUAUGUGGGAGAAACUGUGGACGUCUUGACGGUACCCAAACAGAAAGCCACGGCUAACUACGUG
RNAcentral lists this ribosomal RNA (497 nucleotides) under uncultured bacterium. RNAcentral's name for it is "partial 16S ribosomal RNA". It matches the Rfam family "Bacterial small subunit ribosomal RNA", at positions 28 to 507 of the family's 1533-position model. The record is from RNAcentral.